Molecule: ribosomal RNA, 425 nt
Filed under: Saccharomycetales sp.
Lineage: Eukaryota; Fungi; Ascomycota; Saccharomycetes; Saccharomycetales
Description: SSU rRNA
Rfam family: Eukaryotic small subunit ribosomal RNA
Source: RNAcentral
CCUUAACCUCUAAAUAGCGCCGCUAGCCUUGUGCUGGCGCGCGCUUCUUAGGGGGACUAUUGACUUGAAGUCGAUGGAAGUUUGAGGCAAUAACAGGUCUGUGAUGCCCUUAGACGUUCUGGGCCGCACGCGCGCUACACUGACGGAGCCAGCGAGUUGACCUUGGCCGAGAGGUCUGGGAAAUCUUGGGAAACUCCGUCGUGCUGGGGAUAGAGCAUUGCAAUUAUUGCUCUUCAACGAGGAAUUCCUAGUAAGCGCAAGUCAUCAGCUUGCGUUGAUUACGUCCCUGCCCUUUGUACACACCGCCCGUCGCUACUACCGAUUGAAUGGCUUAGUGAGGCCUCCGGAUUUGUCUAAGCCGAGGGCGACCUUGGCGGUGACGGAGAAGCUGGUCAAACUUGGUCAUUUAGAGGAAGUAAAAGUCG